CAUCUCUACAAUGGACCCUGAGCCAGAAGUGGUCGAUCGUGGAUCACAGUGCAACAUAAGAUGUUUACAUCGUUCAUUAGCUGUUCAGGUAAAGACUCAGAUGGUGGAUGUGGAGACUCAAACGGCUUGAGAACAAAGUGAUGAUGAAUGGACAUUUUCUGAUAUCAUCAACCAUUCUGGUGAUAUGUCAUGGAGUCCAGGGGAGGAGAUGCUGAGCGAGUCCUAUGAGGAGGAAACAGAAGAGCUGGAAUCUCUCAGUGACCCAAAGUAAAAACCUUCUUAUUAAUGGAAACUUUUUUCUGAUUGUGUAUUGGAAAAUGUCAUAGUCAGAAUUAAUGUUUUUUUUUUUCCUUUUCUUGUUUUCAGUGCUGUUUACAAGUUCAUUGUUUGCCAGAGGCAGUUGCUGUCCUUGUUCAUGGUUUGCCCUGCUUGCUGUGGGGAAACACAGGGACACAUAAUGCACCCGGAAGGAACUUUCAUAAAAGUCAAGCAGGCCUGCAGAACUUUUGGUUAUAAGCGUUACUGGCAAAACCAAGCGAAGGUGCAUCAAAACAUGCCUACCUGCAACUCAGCGGUGCU
Carassius auratus (goldfish) is the source of this 579-nucleotide long non-coding RNA. RefSeq lists it as uncharacterized. The transcript has 3 exons. Lineage: Eukaryota; Metazoa; Chordata; Actinopteri; Cypriniformes; Cyprinidae. The record is from RefSeq and is a predicted model, not a curated record.